This 163-nucleotide ribosomal RNA is filed under the name uncultured bacterium. RNAcentral's name for it is "partial 16S ribosomal RNA". It matches the Rfam family "Bacterial small subunit ribosomal RNA", at positions 354 to 509 of the family's 1533-position model. The record is from RNAcentral.
GUAGGGAAUUUUCGUCAAUGGGCGCAAGCCUGAACGAGCAAUGCCGCGUGAACGAGGAAGGUCUUCGGAUCGUAAAGUUCUGUUGAAGGGGAAAAAGAGCGGAGAGAGGAAAUGGUCUCCGAUUGAUAUUACCCUUCGAGGAAGUCACGGCUAACUACGUGCC